AGCAUGGAGUUUGUACUUAUGUACUUAAUGCACAAUUGUCCAUUUUGUACUCUUUCUUUAACAACCCGAAAUUUGACGUCCUUAUGUUUUGCUGUCGUCAAACUCCUGUUGUUAUUAACAUAUGCAACCAUGGUUACAUAUGUUACUAGCAUAAAUGGCAAAAAUCGGAGUCGAUAUACCUGAUGAUCUCAAACUGGUCCGAACUCCG
RNAcentral lists this long non-coding RNA (208 nucleotides) under Nicotiana benthamiana. RNAcentral describes it as "long non-coding RNA (NBEN_LNC005933)". Lineage: Eukaryota; Viridiplantae; Streptophyta; Magnoliopsida; Solanales; Solanaceae. The record is from RNAcentral.